GGCCUUGUUCUGUAUAAUAAUCUUAAGACAAAUCUUCCACCACUGAUUCUUCAGUUGUAGCUAAAAGAUCUUCACAAAGCUUGCCAGAAUUCCCAACUGCAAAGGAGCCCCUUCCAAGAGCACUGCAUCCUGGACUUAGUGCCUUUGCCAUGGAGAGACAGAUGGCAGGGACUGCUGCUGAUGCAGGGAGGGAUUCACUCCUGAGGAUCAAUCACCUGUGAUGCUUAUGCUGUGUCCUCCGACUUUUCCUCUUGAUACUGUGAUACCGACCUCAAGAUAAUUUCAGCAACCAUGUUUAAUCAUUUCACUAAUGCUGAGCAGCUGAAAACAGGACAACUGGUGUGUUACCAGUUUACUCAAGAAUAGAACAAAUGAAAGACAACAGCUACAUGGACAAGGAAUGUGAUGAGCAGAAAGAGAAAGAAAUUUGAGUGAGGAUGAAGGAGACAGCAGGUAUUGUGAA
RNAcentral lists this long non-coding RNA (463 nucleotides) under Anas platyrhynchos platyrhynchos (common mallard). Its description in RNAcentral is "lncRNA (ENSAPLG00000021310.1)". Lineage: Eukaryota; Metazoa; Chordata; Aves; Anseriformes; Anatidae. The record is from RNAcentral.